AUGGAGGCUGCCGCGGCGAGCGCGUUGACCAAGGAGGUGGUGCUGAAGCUGGUCGCGCUGCUGAGCGAGAAGCACAAGCUGUCCAAGCCGCUCAAGGAUGACCUCCGCUUCAUCCGCACCGAGCUCGACAUGAUCUCCAGCGCCAGGGACAGCCACCACAUGAUGGCGGGGGACCCGAGUUCCUCCUCGCGGCGGCCGCAGGCCGUCGUGUCCAUGGAGGAGAUGCGCGACCUCGCGCACGACAUCGAGGAUUGCAUCGACCGGUUCCUGCCCUGCGUCGCAUGCGAGGGGGAGGCGGCGGCGUCCUCGGUCCUCCGCCGCGUGAAGACGGCGGUCACCAGCACCAGAUCCCGGUUCGCGGCGGAGAUCCGGAAGCUCAGGGGCAGGCUCAGGGACGCCCACGAGCGGAGGGCCAACUACGACGUCCAGGCCGGCGGCGGGCCGUCCUUCUCGGCCGCUGCCACCGGAGCAGGUUCUCCUCCCGCAGCCGCCGAUGGCGACCUCGUGGGCAUCGACAAGCCGAGGCAGGAGCUCGUGGAGCUCUUGCUGGAGAGCGAGCCGGGGAGGUCGGGCGUGAUCUCCAUCGUGGGAUUCGGCGGCUCCGGGAAGACCACGCUCGCGAGGGCGGUGUUCGACUGCCCCGCCGUCGUCCGGAGGUUCCCCUGCCGCGCCUGGGCCGCCGCGCCGGAGCACAGGGACGCCGAGGGGCUCCUCGCGGCCAUACUCCGGCAGUUCCACACGGCCCAAAACUCCAUCCAUGGCUUCCUGCGGACUACAGAGUGUUUAAUCGUAAUCGAUGACAUUAACAAGCAACACUGGGACGCCAUCAAAUCUAUCUUCCACAGGGAAACAAAAAGCAGAAUCAUUGUGACAACAUCUCUUCAGUCAGUAGCUAAUGCUUGCAGCUCAGGUGGUGGUUAUGUUUACAAGAUGAGCAUUCUUGACGCGGAACUCUCCAAGGUUUUGCUAAUGAAGAAGGUCUUCUUCCAAGGAUGUUCACCUGAACUGGAGCGGGGCUCGACAGCGAUCGUUGAGAAGUGCGAUGGCCUUCCACUCGCUCUUGUUAGUGUGGCCAAGUUUUUGCUAGGCGAGAACGAGCUCACGGGGAAUCACUGCACGCAAGUUUGCCGCAACCUCGGGCUUCAUAUGGAGAAAGAUGCAGACUUCACAAAGCUACAACAGGUUCUUGUAAAUAACUACAUAAGCCUGUCUGGCUAUCCUCUCAGGACCUCCUUGCUGUACACAAGUGUGUUCCCAAAUGGUCGUACAAUCAGCAGGAAUACUUUGAUCAGGCGAUGGUUGGCAGAAGGGUACGUGCAAUGUCAGUACAAACGCAGUGACCAUGAGGUAGCAGAUGAGAACUUCCGGGAACUCAUUGACCGGAAUAUCAUCCGACCGAUCGAUGCUAGCAACAACACGAAAGUGAAGACAUGCAAAACUCAUGGUAUCAUGCACGAGUUCAUGCUGCACAAGUCCAUGUCUGAUAACUUCAUCACUUCUCUGCGUGAUCAAAAUCGAAGUAAGUUCCGUCACCUGUUCAUCCAGAACCCUGCAAGUGGCAGCACCUUGGGCCUGAACCACCAACAUACAAGUACAGCAAGCGACAACGUAUCUGGUAGUGAAAAAUUUCGUGCCCGAUCUCUAACAAUCUUUGGAAAUGUGGAAGAAUCGGCUUCUGAGUUUUGUAGGUGCGAGCUUCUGCGAGUGCUGGAUCUGCAAGAAUGCAAUGAUUUGGAGGACGAUCAUCUCAAGGACAUACAUAAGUUGUGGCAUCUAAAAUAUCUGAGCCUUGGGGGAACUAUCAACAACCUUCCAAGGAAUAUUGAAAAGUUACACUGCUUAGAGACACUGGACCUUAGGAAGACCAAGAUAGAUAUAUUGCCAUAUGAAGUCAUUGGGUUGCCUCACCUAGCUCACCUGCUUGGAAAGUUUAAGCUUGGGAAAAAGGACCUGAAAAUGAGUGAACUGAAGAAGCUCUUGCCCAAAACAUGUAAGUUGAAGACUCUUGCAGGAUUUGUUGCAGACGAAAACGCUGGGUUUCUACAACUAAUGGCUCAUAUGAAUGAAUUAAAGAAGGUUAAGAUAUGGUGUGAGUCCACUGGUGCAGACAGCAAGAGCUUACCUCACAUUUCAAAGGCAGUUCAGAAGUUUGCUCAGGAUGGUAUGGACACUACAGGCGUUCGAUCUCUGUCACUUGACUUCGGAAAUUCCACGGGGGACUUCCUGGGUUCUAUGCAAGAAUAUUGUUAUCUCAGCUCGCUGAAACUGCGGGGCAGGCUGAGCGUGCUGCCUCAUUUUGUUACAUCCUUGUGUGGCCUCACGGAGUUGUGCCUUUCAUCAACUAAUCUGGUGGGGAAUGCUCUAUCAAACCUGUGUAAGCUUCGCUACCUGCUUUACCUCAAACUGGUUGAGGCUGACCUUAGGAGCUUUGUCAUUAAAAAUGGAGAUUUCCCAAGUCUGCGACGCUUAUGCCUUGUCGUGCAAUCACCCGUCCUCCCGACAAUUGGAAAAGGAGCUCUGCCGUAUCUUGUGUCACUUCAGCUGCUUUGUAAAGAUCUUGCUGAUCUUUCAGGCAUCAAGAUUGAAUACCAUGAUUGCCUGGAGGAAGUCGCUCUUGAUUCGAUGGUCAGUACGAAAGCAGUAGAAACGUGGGAAACUGCAGCAAAGAAGCAUCCAAAGAGACCAAAGGUUCUGUUUCUCAAACGGAUUGAUCCAAGCGAAGCCCAGUCUUCUGUGAAAUAUGUGGCGGCAGAUGGACCGAUGCCUAAGAAGGGUCCCUCCAUUGAGUUCAGUCAAGUUCAGUUAACGCAGAAUAUGUUGCAGAAUGAAUGCAUAAUCCGUUCAGUCCAAUCAAGUUCAGUGAACAAGCCUAAUUCAGCUUUGAAGAAAAUAAUAGUUUCAGAACCCCAUCAGGCUGCAUCGGAGCUAUCCAGUGCUGGGAAUGGUGCGAUGCCUCCUUCUGCAAGCAUAUGUAACAGUUAG
RNAcentral lists this ribosomal RNA (2982 nucleotides) under Triticum aestivum (bread wheat). Its description in RNAcentral is "partial small subunit ribosomal RNA". The record is from RNAcentral. Lineage: Eukaryota; Viridiplantae; Streptophyta; Magnoliopsida; Poales; Poaceae.